This 375-nucleotide ribosomal RNA is filed under the name Triticum aestivum (bread wheat). RNAcentral describes it as "partial small subunit ribosomal RNA". Lineage: Eukaryota; Viridiplantae; Streptophyta; Magnoliopsida; Poales; Poaceae. The record is from RNAcentral.
AUGGAGAUGCUUUGCUUCUGGGCCAGUAGGUGCCGAGGGUACCUACAUGCCAAGAGUUUGGGCACUGGCGGGGAGCUGCUCUCAUAUAUCUGGCUCCUGCUAUCGUGCAUGGGGAUGGAGACCUUGCCGGAGAGGCUGCAGAGGACGGAGCCUUCGAGUGCAGGAGGAAACGCCGGUGCCCCUCCAUCAACUUCCCAGGUCAGCACCCCCAGAGGUCUCAUGAAGCUGCUGCCGCUGCUGCUGGCGCAUCUACCUCUGGACCUGAAGAAAUACAACCAGCUUUAUAACCUGAGAAAUCAUUAUCUCUGUGGUGUUCAUUUCCUUGGGUUCAUUGCUUGCAGCUGCUCGAUCGUUAUGCAGAGCUUGCUGCACUAG